Molecule: transfer RNA, 77 nt
Filed under: Candidatus Bathyarchaeota archaeon
Lineage: Archaea; Thermoproteati; Candidatus Bathyarchaeota
Also listed under: 8 other names
Description: tRNA-Tyr
Rfam family: tRNA
About the family: Transfer RNA (tRNA) molecules are approximately 80 nucleotides in length. Their secondary structure includes four short double-helical elements and three loops (D, anti-codon, and T loops). Further hydrogen bonds mediate the characteristic L-shaped molecular structure. tRNAs have two regions of fundamental functional importance: the anti-codon, which is responsible for specific mRNA codon recognition, and the 3' end, to which the tRNAs corresponding amino acid is attached (by aminoacyl-tRNA synthetases). tRNAs cope with the degeneracy of the genetic code in two manners: having more than one tRNA (with a specific anti-codon) for a particular amino acid; and 'wobble' base-pairing, i.e. permitting non-standard base-pairing at the 3rd anti-codon position.
Source: RNAcentral
CGGGCGGUAGCUCAGCUUGGUAGAGCUUCCGGCUGUAGACCGGAGUGUCGCAGGUUCAAAUCCUGCCCGCCCGACCA